This 291-nucleotide long non-coding RNA is filed under the name Phoenix dactylifera (date palm). Its description in RNAcentral is "long non-coding RNA (PDAC_LNC007023)". Lineage: Eukaryota; Viridiplantae; Streptophyta; Magnoliopsida; Arecales; Arecaceae. The record is from RNAcentral.
UAGAGCUCACUGUCAACCCUAUAAUUAGUACAUCCAUUAUGUGAUUAACUUUAGAUAUCCCGUGACUCCUCACUGAGAUUACCCUGGCCAAGGUUUUACUAAAUUAAUCACAAGACAUUAUCUCCUGUUUCCAGGAGGGGUCAAUUCCAUCUUAACUCACAACUGACUACGCAAGUACUUGACUGCACUCAGUGACCUUCCGUCACUGAAUUAGAAAUUCAGGUAGUCUGGUACCAAAGUACAGUGAGUUGCUUGCUAGUCACAGGUUGCGGUCUCAGGUCAGAGGGCCAA